AGUAAGGCAAAGAAUAGGCUAGUAGUACAUAUUUAUUCGAAAAGAGAAGGAAGCCAUAGGCUGAAAGUUUCCUACGAAAGAAAGUGUAUGAACCUACCUAUGAGUCGUUAGUUAAGAAGCUAACCACAGAAUACUGUGUUAUCAAAAAAGAGAGGGUAAUGAAUUUACCAAAUUAGGUGGUACCGCGGAACCCAUUCCGUCCUAAAU
This 207-nucleotide non-coding RNA is filed under the name Bacilli bacterium. RNAcentral's name for it is "T-box sequence". It matches the Rfam family "T-box leader". From Rfam's summary of the family: Uncharged tRNA acts as the effector for transcription antitermination of genes in the T-box leader family. The record is from RNAcentral. Lineage: Bacteria; Bacillati; Bacillota; Bacilli.